UACGUGUGCUGGACUCUGAUGCAUUGCUGUUCAGUGAGGAUUGAAGGGUAAAUUGAAGUUUAGCAAGUUCCAGCUCAUGUCUCCUUUGUGCCUCCCUUUCGGCUAGCCUCUCUGCAGAUUCCCUUUCUGCAGCAUGCCUUUGCGCUUCCCUUUCGGCUAGCCUCUCUGCAGAUUCCCUUUCUGCAGCCUGCUGUUGGAUCAUCACAUGCAGGGCCUCCUGAGGAUUUGCAGCCAUCAGUUGCCGAAAUAAAUCAGUUGAGCAAAUGUCCU
This is a non-coding RNA of Pelobates cultripes (western spadefoot toad), 270 nucleotides long. Lineage: Eukaryota; Metazoa; Chordata; Amphibia; Anura; Pelobatidae. The record is from the annotation of a GenBank genome assembly.